ACACUGACAUUAGAUACCCCGGUAGUCCCAGCCGUAAACAAUGUGCGUUAGGUGUGUCGGUAACCACGCGUUACUGAUGCGCCGAAGAGAAAUCGUGAAACGCACCACCUGGGAAGUACGGUCGCAAGGCUGAAACUUAAAGGAAUUGGCGGGGAGCACCACAACAGGUGGAGCCUGCGGUUUAAUUGGAUUCAACGCCGGACAUCUCACCGGAUAAGACAGCUGAAUGAUUGUCAAUCUGAAGGUUUUACAUGACUAGCUG
RNAcentral lists this ribosomal RNA (262 nucleotides) under uncultured archaeon. RNAcentral's name for it is "partial 16S ribosomal RNA". It matches the Rfam family "Archaeal small subunit ribosomal RNA", at positions 719 to 982 of the family's 1478-position model. The record is from RNAcentral.